This 429-nucleotide long non-coding RNA is filed under the name Sorghum bicolor (sorghum). RNAcentral's name for it is "long non-coding RNA (SBIC_LNC002410)". The record is from RNAcentral. Lineage: Eukaryota; Viridiplantae; Streptophyta; Magnoliopsida; Poales; Poaceae.
CUUGUUCACUUUACUCCUCGUCUAUGACUAUGAUCUCCACUUCAUGCUUCAUCUUUUUUUGAUCAUGUGGCCACCUUUCCAUGCCACCUUGCACCUUAAUCACAAGUGUUGCUAUGCCUAACUCAAAUCACUUAAACACAAGGCAUUAGCAACUUGGUGUCAUUAAUUACCAAAAUCAAACUUGAGCUUUCACCGCGUCGGGAGCCGCCAUGGUGGAGAUGGAAGGUCCGAGGGACGACCUCUUUGGGUGGGCCAGUGACGCUGGAAUAGGAUGGGAAGGAAAUCGAUGGAAAGAGACGAAGCGACAGAAAGGUGAGGCAACCACGACGUCUUCCUCUUCCUCUCCUCCGGCUGCGACUCCGCUCGGAGGCUGGCUCGGGCGGCGGCAUGCUCCUCUCGUCCGUAGUCUCCCUCCCGGACCCAUGUGGC